CCUUACUCCAUCUUGUUUCCGCUAAAAUCGCGUCAAAGUCGUAGAUUCAUGGCGUCGAUGUGUGGCUACGAAUUCACAAGAUCUAUCGCUCGGUACGUCAUUGAGGCUAGAGAAAGCGAUUUCCUGCACUCGUACUGUUUCGUCGAAAACGAAGUUUCAUGACUGUUUCAUAUUGAAAAUGUUUUGAAUAAGAAAUAGCUAUUGCGUAUUCUAUAUCGCUGAUUUAUAGUCACGUGAUAAUUUAUAUUCUAUGUACAGUGUCCAUGUACAAAAAUCCUAGAUUGUAAUUACUGUUAAAUAAAUAUACAAUUAAUUAAAAGCGUAAAA
Apis mellifera (honey bee) is the source of this 327-nucleotide long non-coding RNA. RefSeq lists it as uncharacterized. The record is from RefSeq and is a predicted model, not a curated record. NCBI's taxonomy places the organism in Eukaryota, Metazoa, Arthropoda, Insecta, Hymenoptera, Apidae. The transcript is spliced from 2 exons.